Molecule: unclassified non-coding RNA, 69 nt
Filed under: Burkholderia gladioli
Lineage: Bacteria; Pseudomonadati; Pseudomonadota; Betaproteobacteria; Burkholderiales; Burkholderiaceae
Source: RNAcentral
GGAAGCCGGUGCGAAGCCGGCGCGGUCGCGCCACUGUAACCGGGGAGCCGGCCUUCCCGGAAGCCAGAC